UCUAUGGUUUGGACCUUGGCUCUUUGGUCUUGCAGCUUUUCAUCUUCGGAAAAUUUGAAAACUAGGCUUGAUUCAGGUCAAAGAAUAGAGAUAGAAAGGGCAGAGAAACUCAAUCAAGGUUCCAUCAAAGCCAUAUAUUUUUCUUUUCUAUCUAUCUCUAUUUUUUCAAUUUUUCCUCUCUUUCCCAUCUCCCCCUUUCAUGGCCGCUGAUGGAUUCUUAAACAGGGGUUUUCUUGUGGCUUUAAAAGGAAGAAUGGAGGGGAAAGGGGGAACGAGGGUGGUCCAAUGAUGGCAUGGCCAAGGUAGCCAUGGCCUACAAUGAGAUGGCCCCAGCUCAAGAAUGGCAUCUGGCCAUGCAUAUGAGAAAGGGAAGAGGG
RNAcentral lists this long non-coding RNA (377 nucleotides) under Elaeis guineensis (African oil palm). Its description in RNAcentral is "long non-coding RNA (EGUI_LNC014053)". The record is from RNAcentral. Lineage: Eukaryota; Viridiplantae; Streptophyta; Magnoliopsida; Arecales; Arecaceae.